UUUGACCCCCCGAAACUAAGCGAGCUACUUAAAAACAGCCUUUUUAGGGCCAACCCAUCUCUGUUGCAAAAGAGUGGGAAGAUUUUCAAGUAGAGGUGAUAAACCUACCGAGCUUAGAGAUAGCUGGUUAUUCAGGAAAAGGAUUUUAGUCCAACCCUAAGUUUUUAACUACACAAAAAUAUUCUAUUAAACUUAGGAGCCAUUCAAAUAAGGUACAGCCUAUUUGAAACAGGAUACAACCUAGAGUACCGGGUAAUGAAUUUAAACUGUGAUCAAGUGGGCCUAAAAGCAGCCAACUUUUAAAUAGCGUUAAAGCUUCAUCACUUCACUAAAAAAAUUCCAACUUCAACACAAAACCCUUCACUUUUACUGAAUGAUUUUAUACUCCUAUAAAAUACAUCAUGCUAGAACUAGUAACAAGAAACAGAUUUUUCUCUUAAAUGUAAGCAUAGGCCAAUAUGAACAACUCAAUGGCAUUUACCGCCAAAAAUCAUUAGUGGUAACAAAUUUCAAGAAAACCCCACUAUAGACUUGCGUCAACCUUACACCAGAACAUUUCAGAAAGAUUAAAAGAAAAGGAAGGAACUCGGCAAAUCAUAAUCUCGCCUGUUUACCAAAAACAUCGCCUCUUGAWAUUUCUAUAAGAGGUCCAGCCUGCCCAGUGACUUAGUUAAACGGCCGCGGUACCCUAACCGUGCGAAGGUAGCGCAAUCACUUGUUCUUUAAAUAAGGACUAGUAUGAACGGCAUCACGAAGAUUAUACUGUCUCCCAUUUCCAAUCAGUGAAACUGAUCUUCCCGUGAAGAAGCGGGAAUACACCUAUAAGACGAGAAGACCCCAUGGAGCUUUAAACUCAAUAACAACUGUUUCUCUCCAUACCAUAAUAAUUUAACAGAAAUGAUUAUUAGUUUUCGGUUGGGGUGACCACGGAGCAAAACAAAACCUCCACGAUGAAAAGAACAACCAUUCUUUAUCUAAGAGUCACUACUCUAUGAAUCAAUAAACUGACAUUCCUUGAUCCAAAAUUUUUGAUCAACGAACCAAGUUACCCUGGGGAUAACAGCGCAAUCCAUUUUAAGAGCCCCUAUCGACAAAUGGGUUUACGACCUCGAUGUUGGAUCAGGGUAUCCCAGUGGUGCAGCCGCUACUAACGGUUCGUUUGUUCAACGAUUAAAACCCU
RNAcentral lists this ribosomal RNA (1180 nucleotides) under Paradoxophyla tiarano. RNAcentral's name for it is "partial large subunit ribosomal RNA". The record is from RNAcentral. Lineage: Eukaryota; Metazoa; Chordata; Amphibia; Anura; Microhylidae.